GGCUGCCUUUGCUGAUAUUGUCUGAUCUCAGAAGCUAAGCAGCAUUGGGCUAAGUUAUUACUUAGAGGGGAGAUUAGCUGGCAAAACUAGGUAUGGUAGGCU
RNAcentral lists this ribosomal RNA (102 nucleotides) under Salvator merianae (Argentine black and white tegu). The record is from RNAcentral. Lineage: Eukaryota; Metazoa; Chordata; Lepidosauria; Squamata; Teiidae.